This 250-nucleotide ribosomal RNA is filed under the name uncultured Verrucomicrobiota bacterium. Its description in RNAcentral is "uncultured Verrucomicrobia bacterium partial 16S ribosomal RNA". It matches the Rfam family "Bacterial small subunit ribosomal RNA", at positions 524 to 773 of the family's 1533-position model. Lineage: Bacteria; Pseudomonadati; Verrucomicrobiota. The record is from RNAcentral.
UACAGAGGUCCCAAGCGUUGUUCGGAUUCACUGGGCGUAAAGGGUGCGUAGGCGGUCGGGUAAGUCUGAUGUGAAAUCUUCAAGCUCAACUUCGAAACUGCGUCGGAUACUAUUCGGCUGGAGGACUGGAGGGGAGACUGGAAUACUUGGUGUAGCAGUGAAAUGCGUAGAUAUCAAGAGGAACACCAGUGGCGAAGGCGAGUCUCUGGACAGUUCCUGACGCUGAGGCACGAAAGCCAGGGGAGCAAAC